Halichondria panicea is the source of this 3041-nucleotide long non-coding RNA. RefSeq lists it as uncharacterized. Lineage: Eukaryota; Metazoa; Porifera; Demospongiae; Suberitida; Halichondriidae. The record is from RefSeq and is a predicted model, not a curated record. The transcript has 4 exons.
AGUCAAGGUACUUGCUUAGCUAGCUGCUGGAACUAUUGUACAGAAUCUUUAGCAACAAAUGCGGUGGAUUUGCACAAGCCAGACCCGGGCCUUAACUACGCAGAGCAGGAUCCCCAUUACGACCAACAAGCACACCUUUCUGGAUUGAAUAAACUCGACAAACUCGACAAACUUUUCAUCUGGAUGUGCAGGACACACGUUUAGUCGGUCGAGAAGUUUUACAAACGAAUUGGCUGAUUCUAGUGUUAACUGUUUUGGAAUAGCACGAUUGUGCAUCCAUGUCAGAUCUGAAUGUAUCACAAGGCAGUGACUAACAAUGGCUGCUUUGAAGUGGAAGGUUCGGAACUCAGUUUGAUCUUAUCGGGGGUACCUAGGCUUUGCUCUAGCCACAAGGUUCGAAUAACUUGCAAAUUUUCCAAAGCUUGAGCGGGACACAGAUUCAGAUUGAGAUUGAGAGUCUGUAGGCAACACAGGAUGAGGUGACACAGGUUGAGAGUCUGUAGGCGACAUAGAUUGAGGCGACACAGAUUGAGAGGGCGACAGGUUGAGGUGACACAGGUUGAGAGUCAGUAGGCAACACAGGAUGAGGCAACACAGGUUGAGAGUCUGUAGGUGGCACAGGUUGAGGUGACACAGAUUGAGACGACACAGGAUGAGAAUUGAUGGUUCUCAAUACCUGUAGAAAAACAUAACAUCAAUCAUGUUCAUAUAAUUAACAAACAAAAAUACCUUUCCCAUUCGUUUUGGCACCCAAUUUUUCCGCUGGAAAAAGCGUGAUUUACGCGGCAUAGCUACAUGUAUAUUUAUACAUGAUGUAAUGAACUUUACACUUACACCCAUACACACUUGUAGGUCUAUUUGCACUUCACAUUUAAAAGCUUUUAGCAAACUUUACAACAUUCUUAUAUCUAAUACAUACGUACAUAGAAAAAAGUGUGUUGAUACUUUGCAAUGGUGAUACUUUGCAAUGGAGAGAGAGGAACACAAAUACUAUACUGUAUUGCGUAAUUGCGUAAUUGCUACAAAUUCUGCAAGACUUAUGCUAAAUAUUUUUCACUUGGGUCUAACAAUCACUUGGGUCUAACAAAUGCACACAGCACUAGUAAUGCCAACAAAACCUAAAUCGACAAUAGGAACACAAAAUGGUUGUAUUAGAAACAGGACUCUCUCUAAACGAUGAACACACAUAUUCUUCUAGAUAAAGCACAUACAGCUACACGUUUCAGACUUCUCAAGGGAGCGGGAUUAUCGCGGUGAAUAUUAAAAGAGAUACACUUCUACAGCCUUUACAUAGAGAUCAAAGUAAAAGCAUCACGUGAAUAGCCACAGAACGUGCAAGCAGUAAUUGCUCACACAGAGGAGGAGGCUUCGAUGUUAAGUCUCCAAGAUGAAAAUGGAUCAUUUCUAGAAAUUUUGCUACCUAAGAGAUAAGAGAGCAGGAGCUGCAGGCUACCAGAACUGCCCUUGAGGAGGGGAGAACUGGUGACCCAGCUGGAAGACUAAAGUCAAGAGUAUUUGGCGUAUGAAUUGUGAUCAGAUUACUAUGUAUGAUGUUGAAAGUAGUAAUAGAGAUGCUACACUAGAAGCUCGUGUAAGUGAGCUAGAGACGGGCAAGGUAACUGUGCAGGCAACUAGAAUUUCGAGCGCAGGCGCCCCCAGAAUGAGCGAAACACUGCCAAGUGUGUCGAGCAUAAGCAAUGUCACGAGUAGAGGGGGAUCAGGUCCACAGCGUCGAAGGGGGAAAGCCCCUCCCGUUGACCCAUUCUCAGCUGAGAAUCCUGAAGUGAGACUGGACGACUGGUUGGUUCAGUGUAUGUAUAGACCAUGUGACACAACAGACUAUCUGUAUACUGCAGUACAGUACAUGUAUAGGCCAUGUGACAUGUCAAGUAGAUUAAAUAUAGACCAACAUGCCAUCUGCAGUUUAGUACAGUACAUGACGAAAUGUCAACUAAUCAGCAGGAGAGAGAUCCUGUAUCCGCAUCCACAAUAAAUAUUUUUGAUACACAUAUUCCAGGCAUGCAGAUGUAACACUGUUCAUUCAGUCACAAUACAUCACGUAGAGUAAGCAUGCAUGACAAGCAUGCAUGACAAACAAAACGAAUUAUUACUAACUAUUUGAGUCUUUGUUACACACCCCCUCCUCUAGACUCGAUCGUCCCGAUCAAGCGGUGGGCGUCUUCUGGUCACUGGGUACCUCCUCAUGGGUAUGUCCUCCUUCUCAGCUGCCAGCUGCGGUGGUCUCGUCGUCAGCUGUGCUCCUCGGCUGCUGCAUUCCUGUCAGAGACCUCAUCAGAGACCUCAUCGCACUCGUCCACGCCGGUCUUCUCCCCCUAAGCAUUUUUUCUUCCCUCCAUACCAAUAGAAUCCUGCUGGUAGAUUUAGUGGGCUCAGUUUCACUUGUAUGUUGAGGGAGUUUGAGCAAACAUCUGGGCCGUAGGGACCAUGCCAGGGACGGCUUAGUUUCCUCAAACGACCGCUCUCCUCCUGGGGGAAUCUCACAAACACCCAAUCCCACACCGAUCUCUGUCGCUGAGACAUGGCUACACGUGCCAUCAUGAGUGUCUGUAGAGGUGAUGGUGAAGGUAAAGCAGGACCUGUUUUAGUAGCCAUGUGGACGUGAAGUUUACACUGCCUUCUUCUGUGUCCACGAUGCAAUCUGCUGAUGAGUUGUCCACGUACAUGCUAAGGGACAAAGUUGGUAGUAACAUGGCUUGGUUAUCACACAGUGCUUUGGCUAGGUGUAGCACUAUGUGCAGUGUGCAUUUAGUGAGCUUGUCAGUAUUGGGAUCUGACUUCGUGUAUUCCCAAAUUGAUAUAUAGUUUAGGAUUUGAGCGUUGCUGUACUUACACAUUUCUAAAUGCGAUAACAUGACAAACAAAUGACAUCAUUGUCAGUAAUUUCCUCCUCUCCGCACAGGAGGGAAUUGACAAGAAGAACGUCUGGACAGUGUCUGUGGAAGCGUUUGCCAGACUUCGGUUUAAUCCCGCAGGAUGAACAUGUAGUGGGCCCCAAGUUUCGUAGGGAGAGUGGUAUUUAA